AUUGAACGCUGGCGGCAUGCUUUACACAUGCAAGUCGAACGGCAGCGGGGGCUUCGGCCUGCCGGCGAGUGGCGAACGGGUGAGUAAUGCAUCGGAACGUACCCAGUCAUGGGGGGAUAACUACGCGAAAGCGUAGCUAAUACCGCAUACGCCCUGAGGGGGAAAGCGGGGGAUCGCAAGACCUCGCGUGAUUGGAGCGGCCGAUGUCGGAUUAGCUAGUUGGUGGGGUAAAGGCCUACCAAGGCGACGAUCCGUAGCGGGUCUGAGAGGAUGAUCCGCCACACUGGGACUGAGACACGGCCCAGACUCCUACGGGAGGCAGCAGUGGGGGAAUUUUGGGACAAUGGGGGGCAACCCUGAUCCAGCCAUGCCGCGUGAGUGAAGAAGGCCUCGG
Molecule: ribosomal RNA, 394 nt
Filed under: uncultured bacterium
Lineage: Bacteria
Description: partial 16S ribosomal RNA
Rfam family: Bacterial small subunit ribosomal RNA
Source: RNAcentral